UGGAAUUGCUAGUAAUGGCAGGUCAGCAUACUGCCGUGAAUACGUUCCCGGGCCUUGUACACACCGCCCGUCACACCAUGAGAGUUGGGAAUACCCGAAGCCUGUGAGCUAACUUUUAGGGGCAGCAGUCGAAGGUAGAAUCAAUGAUUGGGGUGAAGUCGUAACAAGGUAAC
This 173-nucleotide ribosomal RNA is filed under the name uncultured bacterium. RNAcentral describes it as "partial 16S ribosomal RNA". It matches the Rfam family "Bacterial small subunit ribosomal RNA", at positions 1327 to 1500 of the family's 1533-position model. The record is from RNAcentral.